CCUACGGGAGGCAGCAGUAGGGAAUCUUGCGCAAUGGGGGCAACCCUGACGCAGCAACGCCGCGUGUGGGAUGACGGCUUUCGGGUUGUAAACCACUUUCAGUGAUGACGAAAAUGACGGUAAUCACAGAAGAAGGUCCGGCCAACUACGUGCCAGCAGCCGCGGUAACACGUAGGGACCGAGCGUUGUCCGGAUUUAUUGGGCGUAAAGAGCUCGUAGGCGGUUCUGUAAGUCGGAUGUGAAAACUCAGGGCUCAACCCUGAGACGCCAUCUGAUACUGCAGUGACUAGAGUCCGGUAGAGGAAGAUGGAAUUCCUGGUGUAGCGGUGGAAUGCGCAGAUAUCAGGAGGAACACCAACGGCGAAGGCAGUCUUCUGGGCCGGUACUGACGCUGAGGAGCGAAAGCAUGGGGAGCAAACAGGAUUAGAUACCCUGGUAGUCCAUGCCGUAAACGUUGGGCACUAGGUGUGGGGUCUUCUAACGGAUUCCGUGCCGUAGCUAACGCAUUAAGUGCCCCGCCUGGGGAGUACGGUCGCAAGAUUAAAACUCAAAGGAAUUGACGG
RNAcentral lists this ribosomal RNA (563 nucleotides) under uncultured bacterium. RNAcentral describes it as "bacterial SSU rRNA". It matches the Rfam family "Bacterial small subunit ribosomal RNA", at positions 338 to 916 of the family's 1533-position model. The record is from RNAcentral.